Molecule: ribosomal RNA, 680 nt
Filed under: Salmonella enterica subsp. enterica serovar Goldcoast
Lineage: Bacteria; Pseudomonadati; Pseudomonadota; Gammaproteobacteria; Enterobacterales; Enterobacteriaceae
Description: bacterial SSU rRNA
Rfam family: Bacterial small subunit ribosomal RNA
Source: RNAcentral
UAGACCGCCUGGGGAGUACGGCCGCAAGGUUAAAACUCAAAUGAAUUGACGGGGGCCCGCACAAGCGGUGGAGCAUGUGGUUUAAUUCGAUGCAACGCGAAGAACCUUACCUGGUCUUGACAUCCACGGAAGUUUUCAGAGAUGGAAUGGUGCCUUCGGGAACCGUGAGACAGGUGCUGCAUGGCUGUCGUCAGCUCGUGUUGUGAAAUGUUGGGUUAAGUCCCGCAACGAGCGCAACCCUUAUCCUUUGUUGCCAGCGGUUAGGCCGGGAACUCAAAGGAGACUGCCAGUGAUAAACUGGAGGAAGGUGGGGAUGACGUCAAGUCAUCAUGGCCCUUACGACCAGGGCUACACACGUGCUACAAUGGCGCAUACAAAGAGAAGCGACCUCGCGAGAGCAAGCGGACCUCAUAAAGUGCGUCGUAGUCCGGAUUGGAGUCUGCAACUCGACUCCAUGAAGUCGGAAUCGCUAGUAAUCGUGGAUCAGAAUGCCACGGUGAAUACGUUCCCGGGCCUUGUACACACCGCCCGUCACACCAUGGGAGUGGGUUGCAAAAGAAGUAGGUAGCUUAACCUUCGGGAGGGCGCUUACCACUUUGUGAUUCAUGACUGGGGUGAAGUCGUAACAAGGUAACCGUAGGGGAACCUGCGGUUGGAUCACCUCCUUACCUUAAAGAAGC